RNAcentral lists this ribosomal RNA (164 nucleotides) under Epibryaceae sp. RNAcentral's name for it is "partial large subunit ribosomal RNA". It matches the Rfam family "Eukaryotic large subunit ribosomal RNA", at positions 99 to 261 of the family's 3401-position model. Lineage: Eukaryota; Fungi; Ascomycota; Eurotiomycetes; Chaetothyriales; Epibryaceae. The record is from RNAcentral.
CGGCAACAGCUCAAAUUUGAAAUCUAACUUCUUUGAAGUUCGAGUUGUAAUUUGUAGAGGAUGUUUCGGGCACCGCUUCAAUUUAAAUUUCUUGGAACAGAAUGUCAAAGAGGGUGAGAAUCCCGUCUUGAAUUGUAGUAGGGUCCAUGUGAAACUCCUUCGAC